RNAcentral lists this ribosomal RNA (380 nucleotides) under uncultured eukaryote. RNAcentral's name for it is "partial 18S ribosomal RNA". It matches the Rfam family "Eukaryotic small subunit ribosomal RNA", at positions 592 to 976 of the family's 1831-position model. The record is from RNAcentral.
CAAUAGCGUAUAUUAAAGUUGUUGCAGUUAGAACGCUCGUAGUCGGAUUUCGGGGCGGGCCGACCGGUCUGCCGAUGGGUACGCACUGGUCGGCGCGUCCUUCCUUCCGGAGACCGUGCCUACUCUUAACUGAGCGGGGGCGGGAGACGGAUCGUUUACUUUGAAAAAAUCAGAGUGUUUCAAGCAGGCAGCUCGCUCUUGCAUGGAUUAGCAUGGGAUAAUGAAAUAGGACUUUGGUGCUAUUUUGUUGGUUUCGAACACCGAAGUAAUGAUUAACAGGGACAGUCAGGGGCACUCGCAUUCCGCCGAGAGAGGUGAAAUUCUCAGACCAGCGGAAGACGAACUACUGCGAAAGCAUUUGCCAGGGAUGUUUUCACUGA